Molecule: ribosomal RNA, 342 nt
Filed under: uncultured Geobacillus sp.
Lineage: Bacteria; Bacillati; Bacillota; Bacilli; Caryophanales; Anoxybacillaceae
Description: bacterial SSU rRNA
Rfam family: Bacterial small subunit ribosomal RNA
Source: RNAcentral
GGUGGCAUGGUUGUCGUCAGCUCGUGUCGUGAGAUGUUGGGUUAAGUCCCGCAACGAGCGCAACCCUCGCCUCUAGUUGCCAGCAUUCGGUUGGGCACUCUAGAGGGACUGCCGGCGACAAGUCGGAGGAAGGUGGGGAUGACGUCAAAUCAUCAUGCCCCUUAUGACCUGGGCUACACACGUGCUACAAUGGGCGGUACAAAGGGCUGCGAACCCGCGAGGGGGAGCGAAUCCCAAAAAGCCGCUCUCAGUUCGGAUUGCAGGCUGCAACUCGCCUGCAUGAAGCCGGAAUCGCUAGUAAUCGCGGAUCAGCAUGCCGCGGUGAAUACGUUCCCGGGCCUU